This 372-nucleotide ribosomal RNA is filed under the name uncultured bacterium. Its description in RNAcentral is "bacterial SSU rRNA". It matches the Rfam family "Bacterial small subunit ribosomal RNA", at positions 28 to 402 of the family's 1533-position model. The record is from RNAcentral.
GACGAACUCUGGCGGCGUGCUUAACACAUGCAAGUCGAGCGGUAAGGCCCUUUCGGGGGUACACGAGCGGCGAACGGGUGAGUAACACGUGGGUGACCUGCCCUUAGCUCUGGGAUAAGCCUGGGAAACUGGGUCUAAUACCGGAUAUGACUCCAUAACGCAUGUUGUGGGGUGGAAAGCCUUGUGCGGCUAGGGAUGGGCCCGCGGCCUAUCAGCUUGUUGGUGGGGUGAUGGCCACCAAGGCGACGACGGGUAGCCGGCCUGAGAGGGCGACCGGCCACACUGGGACUGAGACACGGCCCAGACUCCUACGGGAGGCAGCAGUGGGGAAUCUUGCGCAAUGGGCGAAAGCCUGACGCAGCGACGCCGCGU